UACAGAGGGUGCAAGCGUUUUUCGGAAUUACUGGGCGUAAAGGGCGCGUAGGCGGCUUUGUAAGUCAGAUGUGAAAGCCCGGGGCUUAACCCCGGAAGUGCAUUUGAAACUACAAGGCUUGAGUGCAGUAGAGGUUGGUGGAAUUCCCAGUGGAGAGGUGAAAUUCGUAGAUAUUGGGAGGAACACCUGUGGCGAAGGCGGCCAACUGGGCUGCAGCUGACGCUGAGGCGCGAGAGCGUGGGUAGCAAACAGG
Molecule: ribosomal RNA, 253 nt
Filed under: uncultured bacterium
Lineage: Bacteria
Description: partial 16S ribosomal RNA
Rfam family: Bacterial small subunit ribosomal RNA
Source: RNAcentral